This 2067-nucleotide ribosomal RNA is filed under the name Triticum aestivum (bread wheat). RNAcentral's name for it is "partial small subunit ribosomal RNA". Lineage: Eukaryota; Viridiplantae; Streptophyta; Magnoliopsida; Poales; Poaceae. The record is from RNAcentral.
AUGGCUUCCCUACCCAUCUGCCCAUCGUCCCCUUCCUCCUUCCUCUCAUGGCCGCACCGCCCAAUCUCGCUCUCCUUCCAGCCCAAGAACCACUCCUCCUCCGCCUCGCCGGCCGCCGCACAUGUCUCCGUCCAGGACUCGCCGCCCCAGGACCCGGCGCCUCCCUCCGACCCCGGCCAGAACCCCAAGAUUUCCAGCACUGCGAAGUUCCUCUGGGUCAACCCCAACAGCCCGCGCGCCGCCGAACUCGCCCGCGCGCGCGCCGGAUCCGGCCGCCGGGCCCGCCUCGCCGCCGCGGCCGCAGCGCUCGCCGCGUGCGAGCCCGCCGAGGCGCCCGUCGCCGCCGCGCUCGAGGCCGCCUUCCCCGAGGCCCCCUCCGAGCAGGACGCCGCCAUCGUGCUCAACACGGCCGCCGGCAACCCGGCCACCGCCGUGCUCGCGCUGCGCUGGUUCCUGGAGAACGCCGAGGUCCGCAGCAAGGUCAUCCUCUACAACGUCGUGUUCAAGGUGCUGCGCAAUCGGCGGCGCUGGAGCGAAACGGAGGCGCUCUGGGACGCGAUGCUGCGGGACGGCGUGCAGCCGGACAACACCACCUUCUCGACCGUCAUCAGCUGCGCGCGCGCCUGCGGCCCGCCCGGCAAGGCCGUGGAGUGGUUCGAGAAGAUGCCGGAGUCAGGGUGCUCGCCGGACAUGCUCACCUACUCGGUCGUGAUCGACGCGUACGGCCGCGCCGGGGACGCCGAGAUGGCACUCCGCUUGUACGACCGUGCCCGGUCCGAGAGAUGCCAGCUCGACCCUGUCAUAUGCGCCACGGUGAUCAAGGUGCACUCCACCAGCGGCAAUUUCGACGGCGCACUCAACGUGUUUGAGGAAAUGAAGGCCGUCGGCGUCAAGCCAAACCUGGUCGUGUACAACACCGUGCUGGACGCCAUGGGCCGUGCCAUGCGGCCAUGGGUAGUGAAGACCAUCCACAGGGAGAUGGUCAGCCAGAAGGUGCAGCCCAACAGAGCAACCUACUGCUGUCUCCUGCAGGCGUACACCAGGGCACGCUACGGCGAGGACGCGAUGAUCGUGUACCGGAAGAUGAAGGACGAGGUGAUGGACAUCGACGUGGUGCUGUACAACAUGCUCCUGUCAAUGUGCGCCGACAUCGGCUACGUUGACGAGGCUGAGGAGAUCUUCAGAGACAUGAAGUCGUCCAUGGACACCAAGUGCAAGCCUGAUAGCUGGACCUACUCAUCAAUGGUGACACUAUAUUCCUGCACUGGUAAUGUCCCUGGUGCCGAGGCCAUACUGAAGGAGAUGGCAGAGGCAGGUUUCAAGCCCAACAUCUUCAUCCUCACGUCGCUCACCCGGUGCUACGGUAAAGCGGGAUGCACUGACGAUGUUGUCAGGUCAUUCGGCAUGCUAAAGGAGCUCAAAAUCACGCCUGACGACCGGUUCUGCGGCUGCCUCCUUACCGUGGCAGCGGAUACGCCGGUGGAGGAGCUCGGCAAGGUGGUUGACUGCAUCGACAGAAGCAAUGCCGAGCUUGGCACCGUGGUGAAGCUCCUGGCGGACAGGAAAGCCUCCACUGAAUCCUUCAAGGAGGCAGCCAGGGGCAUCCUGAGCGGCGCCCGUGGCGUGGUGAAGAUGCCCUACUGCAACUGCUUGAUGGACCUGUGCAUCAACCUGGGGCAGAUGGAGAAAGCCUGCGCGCUCCUCGACGCCGCGCUGCAGCUCGACAUCUACAGCAACGUGCAGACGAGGACGCAGACGCAGUGGUCGCUGCACCUCAGAGGCCUCUCCGUCGGCGCCGCCCUGACCACACUCCAUGUCUGGAUGAACGACCUGUACACGACGCUUCAGAGCGGCGAAGAGCUGCCACCACUGCUCGGAAUCCACACAGGGGAGGGGAGGAACAUGUACUCCGACAAAGGGCUGGCCUCCGUGUUCGAGUCGCAUCUCAAGGAGCUCGACGCCCCCUUCCAUGGCGCUCCCGACAAGGCCGGCUGGUUCCUGACGACGAGCGUUGCUGCCAAGCACUGGCUGGAGGCGAAGAAGUCGUCAGAGCUAGUCGCCGUGUAA